This 6926-nucleotide long non-coding RNA is filed under the name Bemisia tabaci. RNAcentral describes it as "lncRNA ENSSSA1NGG010694". The record is from RNAcentral. Lineage: Eukaryota; Metazoa; Arthropoda; Insecta; Hemiptera; Aleyrodidae.
UACCGUUUCAUAGCUGAUACAUCUGAUGAAAAAGUUAUGAUGAAAUUGUGCAUUCAUUUCCAAGGAUCAGAUGCUACAGACGAGUCGUUUUUUGAACAGAUUCGAACCUUCAAGGAGGCAAAAAAAUGAUUUUACAAUUGCUGUCUCUAAUCAUAUCUGCUUCAGAAGUUUCAAAUACCGGCGAAGAACAACGUAAAUGUAGCACCUUUAAGGAUCUCACUAAGACGCGCGAAUUCAUUGACAAAUCCAUGCUGAUCAAAUUCAUUCUGGAUAACCACUGGCAUAUCUACAUUGAGGCUCCUCCUGGCUUUGGCAAGACCACAAACCUGCAAAUGCUCCGGGAUUUCUUUUCCUUGGAUGUCAAUUCUCAUGGAUACUCUAUUAACGCGGCAGAGAUCCUAAAAACUGACAAAACCUUUCAAGAUAUUGGUAAAAGGCGUAAAGGUCUACGGAACACCUUAGCAAAACGCGUAUCUUUCGAGAAUGACACCGAAAGCCAAUCCGUUCCCGUCUACGAGAACGCCACGAAAACUUUCAGCGUCUCCAAAAAGCCUUUGAAAAACUAUGAUACUUUUUCGAAGCCACCACUGAGAAUACUGCAGGAGUCGCCGCAGUUAUUUGAGACCCAGUUUGCUCGAUAUCCUGUCCUCUUCAUGGACUUUGAAAAUUUGUCGACACAGUCCUUACAAGAUUACAUACGCACUUUCAAAGUAAUGGUUUCGAAGCUUUUCGAUCAAUUUAAGUACUUGUUAAAAAGUAACAGACUAACCAGAGGCAAUAAGGAUGAAUAUUUACUCUUCCGUGACCAGGUUAUAGGACUGAGCAUGAACGAGGUAACGCUCGGAGGAGUAAAACUGGCCGGACUCUUGUCAGCACAUCAUCACCGAAAAGCGAUAGUUUUAAUCGACAGCUUUGACGUACCGAUACGUGAAGCUCUCUUGGCGCCACACCUCGACACAGAAAGCUACAGGGAGAUUGCAUGGAGUAUUUCCCGGAUGGUGAAGGGGCUAUAACUGAAAGCAGGUUUGUUCAUCGAACCGUAGUAACAGGCAGUCUCCGAAUCGAAAUCACAGAUGGACUGAUGCAUUUCCACAUCUUUGAUGACGAAUCUCUGAAUCGGUAUUACGGCCUCACAGACUAUGAUAUUUUAGAACUUGCGAAACGCUCUAGUGGACAGAAGAAUAUCGCCAACGUCAGAAAUUGGUACGGUGGUUACAAAGCAGCGAGCAAAGGUCAUGAUAUCUACAACACACGCUCAACGAUGAGCUACUUCAAGACAGGUGUAUUCAAGCCUUACCGAUUUGAGUCCAUCAAAUUUAAAACCUUAAAAACUCUCCUAGCAUUUAGAAAGUUAGGUUGUGACGUGGAAGAUGCAUUCGAUGAUAAAACGCGGCUCCGUAUUCGGCAGAAGAUUUCGUGGCGACGUUUCAGGCAACUGCGACGAACGAUAUUUUCCUCCAAUCAAACGGUCCUCCAUAGGAGUCUGUUCCUGCAAAUUCUCCUCGACCAUGGCUUUUAUACCAUUCAAGAUGGAAAUACACUCCACGUGCCGAACUUCGAGGCAAUGCUGGACAUAAAAAACUUAAUAUUCGACCGUGGAUACUACAUCAACAAACUAAACAUCCCCGACCAGACUAUUGACAACUUUGUGCAGAGCAUCGAGCGCCUGACUGGCGAGGAUACGUCAUUUCACAAAUUUUUCGCAGCCGUCGCAGAACUCUUCAAAAACCGCGUGCCACGAGGUGCACGAGAAUUGGCGCACACCUUGGUCACUUUAGUGGCUGACGCUCGCAAGUUUAGCCUGUUACGUGGUCAGAAAACUCCGGAAAGUGGCCGGCAAGAUGUCCUCGUGAAGCGAUCCACGGAAAUUGGAAUCGUGAUUGGGAUUCUGGUUGGGUCGAUAGAUGAAGAAACGCUAAAACCUGUUUAUCACAAGAGUUUACAAGUGUUUCCAGACUGUAAAUUUAGGGUUGCGAUCUUGUUAGGUUUAAAACCGCGCGGAGCAACCGGAGAUCUUGACAUUUUGUAUGCAUUUGACAAUCGUACUAUUGUAGACAGCAGUACGUACCGAUAUGAUUCGCGUGUCACUACAGAUGCCACUUCGUCAUUGAAAAAACUAGUGGUCGGCCAUGACGUCGUCCUUUCAAAAGUCGGCAGUCGAACUUGAAAGGUAUCACUACGACAAGCGCACCGUUGAGAAAAAGAGAGGUUAAUAGUCGGAGCAAACAGCAACUUAAUUCGGACGAUUACUUUUACUUCUCAGCAUUACAAAAUUUUCCUCCUAAUUUAAGUUUUGAACAAAAAAGACAAAACAUAAAUAGACUGCAUUUCGCAAAUAGGAACUAUAUAUUCUAGCUUGGUUUGGAAAGAACGUAUGUUGCAUUAACUUUUCAAUACACAUGAGUGUUUUUACGAAAGAGCCAGAAAUUGUAGUUUCCAAUAGCAAAAUGUAGUCCAAAUGAGAACUACAUGUUUUGAAGAGAUCAAUCUCUUCAAUCUAAAAAAAUUCGCUCCCUUAAAUGUAAAUUUCUGUACUUAUAUUGUAUCUUAUAUUGAAUAUUAUAAUUUUUUCCGAAAGAAAUAGAUUUAUUUGACACCAAUGUAUCAUACGUGAAAAUUAAAUGCAUGUUGAUUUACGGAUUUAUAAAGGACACGUUUAGAGCAUCAUAAUUGGACAGCUUUAUGCAAUAAGGAACUAGGGUCAAAUUUUCGAUUUUUUUUUUAUGAUGAAUUCCGUAUCAGGAGGGUAUUUACUUACUAUUGAGAAAAAGAAAAUCCUCAAAAACGAUUUUUAUCCCGCUUCAGCGACCCCUCAAAAAUUUGCCGUCGCAGGAUCACGUGAGGUUCAUUUUGCAAUUGGGACCUAUACUAUGGUUCCCUAUUCCGUAAUGCGAAACUCGGAUUACGGAACGGCGGCGGAAAGGUGAAUCAACACUUAACAAGAUCAGACAUGCUUUUUUCGGCCAUUUUUGUUUCGUGAAUGUUGAUGAUUUUUAUUAAGUUUUAUGAAGUGUUAUGAAGUUUCAUUCGUCCAAGACUUGUAGGUGUACAGACUGAAGAAGGCCAGGAAGAAAAGUAAGUGUUUGUUUUUAUCACAAUUUUAUUAUUUUUAUAUGGGACAAAAGCUUGGACAAAUACUCUAGGUUGCUGUUUCAAAUAUUGCCGCCAUGUAGUUUUCUCAAUGAUUGGCUGAAACUAAUAAACACAACAAACAGCUGAUUUAUUACAAUACAUGUGUCAUUAUUUUGAAAGUAAACGAAAGUAGAGUGCUUCAUUCGCCAGAAUGUUACGACGAAGUCAUUAGUAUUUUCCGUAUUGCAGUUGCCCUUACUGUGUAUAAAAUAAUGAAACAAAAAAUGUUUCUAGCAUCGACCAACUACUGACAUACUUUCAGCGACAAUAAUUUACUUUAAUACUGGAUCCGUUCUUUGUGCUGUGAUGUGAUCAGUCCCAACACCUAAGUGGAACUAUAAUUAUUAUAAUAAUUACAUGUUUCCCAAUUUCCAACCAAUUUUUCAUCCAGCACCAGCAUCAUCCUUUCAUCCUUCGCCUCAGGACCAGCAGAUCAGGUAAUCAAACAAUUUUUUUUUUUGCAAGGAUUCCUUAUUCAUUAUAUUUGUGCAAACAGUGCGGUGCUCAGACACCGCAGGAUGAAAAGUGGCAACUUCUAAUAUGAGAGACUCUUUAAAACCAUGAUGCGUUUUUGUCAAAGUAGGUGCGCUUGCCGUAUUGUAGGUACAACACUCAAUUGGCAGCAAUUAUUGUGAGAUGUUCUUUCAAAGUGAAAUUAGCCGUAGCUGAUUCUUCAUUGGUGGAGAUGUCUGCUCAAAAAAAUUGGGUAGAAAAACCCCCGCAAAGUCAUUUUAAAGUGAGGAUAAAAAGUAGUCUAUAAAAGAAAUAGGUAGUUUACAGGAAGGGGGGGGGGUUGAAAAAUCAACCUGAAUGACUUCAGAAGUAGAUUUCUUCUGAUGUAUGGGAUCCUGGAUGUUGUAUGGAACAUUGGAUAUUCAAAUUGAAUUUUCCUGGAGUUGAAUCAAAAUUUUGAUGUGACCAUUCAGAGUUGUUUUCUGACUGUACCUAACUGAAGUUAUUUGAAAUGAAAAAGAUAAAGUGAAAUCAUCUGCAAGUUAAUAAAUUAAAAUUUUGGCAGACGCAUUUCGAGCUGCGGCCCAUCCUCAGUGCAACUUUGUUUUGUUCUCUGUAAUUUUUAUGUUCAGCUUUGGAAUGAGCACUAUUCCAGUAGUAAGUUUGAAAACAAGGAAGUAAAGAACUGACCCAACUUCCCAAAUUCACGAAGGGUGUCUAUUAUUUUAAUGUACUUUUUGAUCCUACUUUCAAUCAUAUACUAUAGAUUCUUCAACAUCUUUUGUUGAUUUCCCCUCAGGUUCCGAAUCCCAUGCAGGUGCUUCAAGAAGGUUACCAAGUGGUCAAUAAAAUGAGGACCAUGACGGACAGCUUCUCAAGUUUCUUAGGUAAUUUGGGCAGAACAUUCCAGAUGAAUUAUGGAAGUAAUAAUUUUCCUGCCCCUGUUCUUAAUGCGUCUUGUGUGAUUAACCCCAGUAUUAGUCCUGAAACUGAAACUGAGGUGAGAAUGGAAGGAGGUUCAUGUUUAGAAUCUAAUGUUUGUGCUACGCCGGAGACCGAGCCAGAGCUUGAGCUAGAGCCUGAGCCUGAGCCAGAGCCUGCACCAAUUAGUGAAAAUGUUGGCAGGCCCAAGAGGGGCAGAAAGAGAAAAUAUAAGAUGACGAGGGAGGAAAAGAAAGUGAAGAAGGAUACAUAUGAAGAAUAUGAGAACUAUUAUGGGAAGUUUGUGCAGGGGAAGGGUUUUAGGGAGUAUCUAUGUAUUUGCCACAGGGAAUGUCACAGGAAAGUGUCUGUUGAGGAAAGACUGUCACAUUUUAACCGGUUCAAAAACUGUGGUAGUUUCAACACCCAGACCGCCAUGAUAAAAACAUAUGUAGUAGAAAAACCUGCAAGCAAAAUUUCGGAUGAGUCUGAAAGGAAAUAUACCCGAAGAUAUAAAAUUGGAGAAGUGGAAUUUUGCCAACCAUUUCUUUGCCAAACUUUGAGGAUCUUAACCAAAAGAGUGAGCACGGCUUUGAAAAAAUUUAAAACGGAGAAUAUUUUAGAGCGGAGAAACAGCAACGGUGGUCACAACAAACUCUCCGAGUCAAGAGUGGCAGAGGUUAAGGAGCACAUCCAAAAAAUUCCAAAAUACAAAUCUCACUAUUGUAGAAAUGUAACCGAAACCCAAUUUUUGCCGCAUUAUAUGACCCUUCAAAGAAUUUAUCAAAUGUAUUGUAAGAAUUAUUUUGAUCCGGUUUCUUUUAGCGCUUUUCGGCUAAUUUAUCACUCCAAUUUCAACCUCCGACGCAAGCCACUUUGAAAACUUCCUCCGUAAAAUAAAACAAACAGCCAGAGGUCCAGCCAGAUCACUGCAGCAAAUUUACAAGCGCAUUGAAGAAAGAAGCCGCUGUAAAGCUCUAGAUAAAUUGUAUGGUCCUGGUCUGCCUCCUCCAGAAGAAGUAACAUUUCAAAUUUCUCACAAUGAUGGACCUCUACUCCCCUCAUGCACAAAUCCUCAGUUUAAAAAAGCUAUCUCUUCAAACUUUAAUCUAUCGGCCUCAAGUGAGGCUGAUUGCUUUUGUCAAUUUUCGUCUGGAUCUAUUGUGAAGUAGGAAAAUUUUGCAUUCUCAGAACGUGGAGAACGCUUGGUGAUAGGUCGAAAGUACACCGACUUGACAUCCUUCUAUGCCGAUCCAUUCAUGACUAGUGAUAAAUUUGGCAUUUUCAAAGCUUCCAAGUUAUCAGAGCUUAAGUCAUGGAAUGUUUCCUCAAUCUCUACUCAAUACAUGGGACUUCCAGACGAUUAAGGCAAUAUUAUUUUGUUUCCAUUAGUUCAUUGUUUAACAUAGCUUUUUUUAUUCGUAAUUUACUAUUGUCCCAGUUGAUCUGUUACUGGUCAGUUAUCAGUGGAGUAGUUCUUUCUUUUAAGAGAAGAAAUGAUGAAAACACACCUAUUGAAAGAAAGCUUAUCUUACUUGACAUGUUGUCUCUAUGCUCUCCUGUUUAAAAGUCAACUGUCAUUAGGUGCUAUUGCCUUUAAAACAUUUUUUUCUAAUAUCUUUCCUUCGCCUCAUAAGUAUUUUAAUGGGCUCAUUUUCUUGUCUCAGGGUUAUUCAUUUCCUUUGUUCAUCAUAAUUUAAUUUCAGAAGUUUUUUAUCAUAAUUUAAUCGCCGAUUAUUUGUCAUGGUUUAAUCGAUUUUUGUCUCGUCGGUUUUGAAGUAUCAGAGGUCUUCCACAUUUUUGCUUAUUUUUUGCUGGUAUACUGAGUUCAAUAUCUGUCAAUUAAAUUUAAAUCUCUCAACGUGAUUUCUCAACACAGUUUACGUAGCAGUUUGUUACAAUUUUUCUCUUGAUCUUGCUUAGUCUUUGGUUAUUACCGAGUUGACUUACAAUUAGGCGGAGAGUAAGUAAAUUGUCAAUUUUAUCAUCAUUUCAAGAGUAAGUAAUUUUCCUUUUUUUUACUGUACCCUCAUAAUUUUAUUCCGAAAAUUUCACUCAAUUCAAUUUCGGUUUGCAUUUGCUCCAUCCCCUUUAAAUAUUUUAAAAUCAUAAUGUAGAGGAGGAUGAUAGAGACGAGCUACCCCAAUAUUUCAUAGACAUAGCUCAUUUCACAGCUCCUUGUAUAAGGAGAUAUCAACAACAAUGAUUUUAGAACAGCGUUUGUCACUUUCAGUUAGUUUACUUAAUUUUGUCCUUUUAUAAAUCCCUGACUUCAUGAAUCUUUAUCUUUUUGUAGCUGUAAAAUGUGGACUGUCAUCAAGAAGAAAGAUUUUGAUGAGUUUGAAAAAUGUUAGAAAGAGGAGAACGAAUCAGCAAACAUGCAUACGAACUAAUUCAAAUAAUCAAGUACAAGGAUUACG